CAAACUGUGAGCCAAAAUAUAUCCUCUUUCCCUUAAGUGGCAUUUUUGACAGAUAUUUGGUUGCAGCAACAAGAAAAGAAUGCUGCAGCUUUUAGCACAGCCCCAGAAUCGUGGAUACCAUGCUCCUAUUGAACAAAUUCUUGAUCCUGGUUUGUAUGAGGGAGUGGCUCUAUUAGAAGGUGUGGCCUUCUUGGAAGAAGUGUGUCAAUGUGAAGGUGGGCUUUGAGGUGUCAUAUAUGCUCAAACCACACCCAGUAUGACAGUCUCUCCUGCUGCCUUCGCAUCAAGAUAGUAGAACUCUCAAGCUCCUUCUCCAGCACCAUGUCUGCUUGCAUGCCUCCAUGUCCGGACAGGAUGAUAAUGGACUAAACCUCUGUAACUGUAAGCCAGCUCCAAUUAAAUGUUUUACUUUAUAAGAGUUGUCAUGGUCAUGGUGUCUCUUCACAGCAAAAUAAACUUUAAUGAAGACAGAAGUUGGCAUCAGGGACUGGGGUAUUGCUGUGAUAGGCCUGACCAUGCUUUUGUCUAGAGAAAU
RNAcentral lists this long non-coding RNA (535 nucleotides) under Cricetulus griseus (Chinese hamster). Its description in RNAcentral is "lncRNA (ENSCGRG00015039456.1)". The record is from RNAcentral. Lineage: Eukaryota; Metazoa; Chordata; Mammalia; Rodentia; Cricetidae.